Molecule: ribosomal RNA, 479 nt
Filed under: uncultured organism
Description: bacterial SSU rRNA
Rfam family: Bacterial small subunit ribosomal RNA
Source: RNAcentral
GAUGAACGCUGGCGGCGUGCUUAACACAUGCAAGUCGAACGGGCCAUGGCAGCUUGCUGUUGUGGUUAGUGGCGAACGGGUGAGUAACACGUGAGUAACCUGCCCUCUUCUUUGGGAUAACUGCCUGAAAGGGUGGCUAAUACUGAUUAUUCUGCUGAUUCCGCAUGGUUUUGGUUGGAAAGAUUUUUUGGUGGGGGAUGGGCUCGCGGCUUAUCAGCUUGUUGGUGGGGUAAUGGCUUACCAAGGCUUUGACGGGUAACCGGCCUGAGAGGGUGACCGGUCACAUUGGGACUGAGAUACGGCCCAGACUCCUACGGGAGGCAGCAGUGGGGAAUAUUGCACAAUGGACGGAAGUCUGAUGCAGCGACGCCGCGUGAGGGAUGAAGGCCUUCGGGUUGUAAACCUUUUUCGCUUUUGACCAAGGCAUCAUUUUGGUGGUGUUGAGGGUAUGAGGUAAAGAAGCUCCGGCUAACUACGUG